Molecule: ribosomal RNA, 253 nt
Filed under: uncultured bacterium
Lineage: Bacteria
Also listed under: 1 other name
Description: partial 16S ribosomal RNA
Rfam family: Bacterial small subunit ribosomal RNA
Source: RNAcentral
UACGUAGGGUGCAAGCGUUAUCCGGAAUUAUUGGGCGUAAAGGGCUCGUAGGCGGUUCGUCGCGUCCGGUGUGAAAGUCCAUCGCUUAACGGUGGAUCCGCGCCGGGUACGGGCGGGCUUGAGUGCGGUAGGGGAGACUGGAAUUCCCGGUGUAACGGUGGAAUGUGUAGAUAUCGGGAAGAACACCAAUGGCGAAGGCAGGUCUCUGGGCCGUCACUGACGCUGAGGAGCGAAAGCGUGGGGAGCGAACAGG